RNAcentral lists this ribosomal RNA (429 nucleotides) under Acidobacteriota bacterium. RNAcentral describes it as "Acidobacteria bacterium partial 16S ribosomal RNA". It matches the Rfam family "Bacterial small subunit ribosomal RNA", at positions 355 to 776 of the family's 1533-position model. The record is from RNAcentral. Lineage: Bacteria; Pseudomonadati; Acidobacteriota.
UGGGGAAUUUUGGACAAUGGGGGAAACCCUGAUCCAGCCAUCCCGCGUGUGAGAUGAAGGCCUUCGGGGUGUAAAGCACUUUUGGCAGGAAAGAAACGUCAUGGGUUAAUACCCCGUGAAACUGACGGUACCUGCAGAAUAAGCACCGGAUAACUACGUGCCAGCAGCCGCGGUAAUACGUAGGGUGCAAGCGUUAAUCGGAAUUACUGGGCGUAAAGCGUGCGCAGGCGGUUCGGAAAGAAGGAUGUGAAAUCCCAGAGCACAACUUUGGAACUGCAUUUUUAACUACCGGGCUAGAGUGUGUCAGAGAGAGGUGGAAUUCCGCGUGUAGCAGUGAAAUGCGUAGAUAUGCAGAGGAACACCGAUGGCAAAGGCAGCCUCCUGGGAUAACACUGACGCUCAUGCACGAAAGCGUGGGGUGCAAACAGG